RNAcentral lists this transfer RNA (72 nucleotides) under Camelus bactrianus (Bactrian camel). It matches the Rfam family "tRNA". From Rfam's summary of the family: Transfer RNA (tRNA) molecules are approximately 80 nucleotides in length. Their secondary structure includes four short double-helical elements and three loops (D, anti-codon, and T loops). The record is from Rfam by way of RNAcentral. Lineage: Eukaryota; Metazoa; Chordata; Mammalia; Artiodactyla; Camelidae. RNAcentral also lists the same sequence under 3 other names.
GAGGGUAUAGCUCAGCAGCAGAGCACAUGCCUAGCACAUGUGAGGUCCUGGGUUCAACCUCCAGCACCUCCA